RNAcentral lists this ribosomal RNA (1290 nucleotides) under Triticum aestivum (bread wheat). Its description in RNAcentral is "partial small subunit ribosomal RNA". Lineage: Eukaryota; Viridiplantae; Streptophyta; Magnoliopsida; Poales; Poaceae. The record is from RNAcentral.
AUGAAGCUUCUCAAUUUGUCCUUCAAUAAUCUCGAGGAUCCAGUACCAUCAGAUGGGAUAUUUCAGAAUGGAAGCAAGGUUUUCAUUCAAGGGAAUGUGAAGUUAUGUACCAGCAUUCCAUUGCUACAGCUGCCAUUUUGCAAUGCAGAGACAUCCAAACAAAGGAAUGUCUCCAGCAUUUUCAAGAUGGUAGGAUUUACAGUUCUCUCUUUGGUCCUGUUAUCAUGCUUUGCAACCAUUAUUUUGAAGAAGAAAAAGAAACUCAAACAAGCAGCUCAUCCAUCCUGCAAAGAGUUGAAGAAGUUCACAUAUGCAAAUUUAGUGAGAGCAACAAAUGGUUUCUCACCAGAUAACAUGGUCGGUUCAAGAAAAUAUGGUUCUGUGUACAGAGGUAGAAUUGAAUCUGAAGAACAUGAAGUUGCCAUCAAAGUUUUCAAACUCAAUCAACUCAGAGCACCAAAAAGCUUCAUUGCUGAGUGCAAGGCAUUGAGGAACACUCGUCACAGGAAUCUUAUAAGGGUGAUUACAGCAUGCUCAACCAUUGAUCCAACAGGACAUGAUUUCAAAGCUAUUGUUCUUGAAUAUAGUGUUAACAGUGACCUGGAAAGUUGGCUCCAUCCAACAGUCCAUGAGGUUGGUCAAAGAAGGCCGUUGAGUUUCGGUACAAGAAUAGUAAUAGCAGUGGACAUAGCUGCUGCUUUGGAUUACCUCCAUAACCAAUGUGUGCCUCCUAUGGCACACUGUGAUCUGAAGCCUAGCAAUGUCCUUUUGGAUGAUUUCAUGGGCGCCCGUGUUGGCAAUUUCGGGUUGGCUAAGUCCCUGCAUAGUCAUAAUUCUUCGGACAUUCAUAGUUCUACAAGCUUAGUGGGGCCAAGAGGAUCGGUUGGAUACAUUGCACCAGAAUAUGGCUUUGGGAGCAAAAUCUCCACUGAGGGCGAUGUAUUUAGCUAUGGAGUCAUCAUCUUGGAAAUGCUAAUAGGAAAGCGUCCAACUGAUGAGAUGUUUAAAGAUGGCCUGCGCCUUUACAAAUUUGUUGAAAAAUCAUUUCCUCAAAAGAUUGAGGAGAUUCUAGACCCUAGGAUAGUUCCAGGUUAUAGAGAUGAAGGUGAAGAUGCAGGAGGUGAUUUAGACUGGGAAACUCAUCGAAUGGUUGCUAUGAACUGCAUCAUAAAGCUCACUGAGCUUGGAUUGUUGUGCUCUGCGGUGACACCUAAAGAUCAGCCCACUAUACAGCACGUAUACAACGAAGUUACCGCAAUCAAAGAAUCAUUUCCAGCAUUGCAGGGCUGA